GACGAACCGUGCGAACGUUAUUCGGAAUCACUGGGCUUAAAGGGCGCGUAGGCGGGUCAUCAAGUCAGGGGUGAAAUACUUCGGCUUAACCGGAGAAGUGCUUUUGAUACUGGUGACCUCGAGGGGUGUAGGGGCAUGUGGAACUUCCGGUGGAGCGGUGAAAUGCGUAGAUAUCGGGAGGAACACCUGUGGCGAAAGCGGCGCACUGGACCAUUUCUGACGCUGAGGCGCGAAAGCUAGGGGAGCAAACAGG
Molecule: ribosomal RNA, 253 nt
Filed under: uncultured prokaryote
Description: partial 16S ribosomal RNA
Rfam family: Bacterial small subunit ribosomal RNA
Source: RNAcentral